This is a long non-coding RNA of Siniperca chuatsi (mandarin fish), 6624 nucleotides long. RefSeq lists it as uncharacterized. NCBI's taxonomy places the organism in Eukaryota, Metazoa, Chordata, Actinopteri, Centrarchiformes, Sinipercidae. The record is from RefSeq and is a predicted model, not a curated record. The transcript has 2 exons.
UUUUCUCAUUCCUUGAAUUAGAUGCAACUUGAUGGUGCUGCUAAUAUAAUAUAGAAAUAAAAUAAUUUAAUUUAUUUAUUUACUUUUUCAGUAAUGGCUCCGCAGCCAGAUGCUAGGUCUGUUACACUUUGUCUCCACAUUUAGGGUUGUCCAUUGGGUAUAGGAGUAGGCAGUAGUGCAUCUGACCUGUUAAGAUGGCCCAUUCAUGUAUGGAGUAAAGAAAACACUCCCCUUGGAAUGACACUUUAAAGUUAUUUCCUCUGAAAAAUCUGUAAAACAAAACUGAACCUGGUACGUAACCCAGAAAGAGAUAAGAGACAGAUGUAAGCAAGUGAGUGUGUGUGUGUAUAUAUAUUACGCUUGCUUGCUUGACACUAUGGCACUAAUUAACUCUUAACUUGUAAUACUAAAUUAGCCAUGGGUUAAAUGGACUACAAACAAACUUUUAAAAAAUCUAUGAGCUCGCUUUGCAUUAUGGUGUUUCUCGCCUCCACCCCAUCUGCCAGUGUUAGUGUUUUUUAAAUUAGAACACCUGAGUGUGUGUGUGUGUGUGUUAUUGCUUAUUUAUAGAGCUAUUUUAUUUUUCCAAAAAAUAUCUUCUAAGUAAACUAAGUCAUAGUGCAGACAUGUUUAUGAAGCAGCACCAAAACCAUUUCAUGAAAUCUGGAUAACGUGGGAGAGUUUUAAGUUUAACACAUACAAAUGUCAACCCAACCACUAUUUUUUACAAAAAGUUCUAAUCAAGAAGUAUCUUUCACAAAUGUCAAGGUGUUGCAAUGGAAGAUAUCAAAAACAAGGCCUUUAGUCACUAUGGCUUGCUGUCUUAAUUUCUGAGAACUAGUGUAAAAAUGAUUACGUGUGGCAUAUUGAAUCUGUUCCUUGUAAAAUGCAGAAUAUUUGUUGAUUUGUUGGGCAUUGCAGUAGGUUGUUCAAAACUGGUCAUGUUUUGGCCUUUUUGCUGAUAGCAGCAGAUUUUUGAUAAAAUAUCCUGGUUGUUAGAACCAUCUAAUUAUAAUUAGAAGUCUUUGUCAUUUCAUUGAUUUCAGGUAACACCAGCACAGAAAUGUCUUAUGAGGCAUAGUACAAGGUGCCUGUCUUCUUUGUGACUUCCAUAGCAACAUACUGUAUGAUGCAGCUUAGAGAUGCUCUGUAAUAUAAUGCCUGUAGGUUCUUAACUCUCUCCUUAGUCUGUCCUCUCAAUCAAUCUUAAUACCCUGCUCCCAAUGGAUCGUUUAAUCUGCAUGCAACCAGACGAUGUGUUAAUGCCACAGUGGAAGGAUGACCUGGUACAGACUUGAAUUACUUCAUGUUGAUAAACUGGUCAGGAACCAACCAUUAAUAGAAAUGUUUUUGAUUCUUCUCUGCUCUUCUUAGUUAUUUAUGUUGUUGUAAUGGUCAGAAUUAAGACUGUGGUUGCUUGUGUAAAAACAGGCUUUUGAUAAGGCUGCAGAGAAUGGCUAAAAUGAUUAUUUCAGUUAUUCAGCUCAAUAUUAAUAUUACAUUUAUGCCACCUUAGAUGUCAUUGAAUUAGAUCCACUGCACCUCCAGAAAGCUCAACAGUGAGUUCGUAUCCCAUAAAAUGGCCCCCUCCACCAACUCUCAACAAUGAUCAGAGCUUUGCGGAUGGACCUCAGGUUGUAGCCAGUUCAAUACACCCUCAUUUCUAAUCUCACUAUUGGUCAUAAAAACAAUAUGCAAAUGGGUGGCUGGUCCUCCUGGCUUAAAACUACCUGUUUGGCAGUUUAGAAACCAAACUAUACUAACUGUAAUAGGAUGAUAAGUGACACACCAUCAAUCUCAUACACUUAAGAGUGCAAUAACUUCACAGAGCUGUGAAUGAUCCUCAUAGAACAAUUGUGUGUUGAGACCAACUGGCUUCCUCUAACGGAUAUAAGCAGUGUAUAUAAAUAUUAAAAAUGACCAAUGCUAAGUGUUAAAAGCUUUGCUUGUAACAAAGGAGGAUGUGUCAGAAAUGGCUCUUGUAGACCUGGUUGUUGGAAUUUACUAGAUUUGCCCACGCUCCAUCUGCCAGUGAGUCCAUUUCAGAACUGCAUGAUCCUUGUCAGGUUUUCCAGGCAGCACACUGCUAGCUGGGACUACUUACCACAGCAUUAUUUUCACCUUUCCUUUUUUUUUCUCUCUCUCUCUCUCUCUCUCUCUCUCUCUCUCUCUCGCUUUCCCUCUCUCUCUCUCGCUUUCGGUUGAAUGUUAGUCUUGAGCAUUUGUCAGUGAAAUAACUGGCUGUCUCAGUGCUGAAAUUUGAUGCUUUUAGCGUAGUUCUAUAUAAUUACCGAUGAAUGUUGUGUAGCAGUGUAUGUAAAGGCGUCACCACCAACUACUUUGCAUGUAUACACCAGAUUGUGGUCCUAGAUGAAAAUGUCACACACAGCUAAUUUCUGCAUUUGGAUUUGCCUUCUGGAAUCAAAACCCACUUAAAUGUCAUUAGCUAGAGAUGGUUAAAAUGUUUGCUGUGAACGUGUAAAGCAAAGCCUGUGAGACAGACGGUGUGGCACUCUAAACUUGAGCAUGAUAUAUGGCCGAAAGAUGUAAAUGGUUUGUUCCGCUGUUGUUGCUGCAUCUGCUUUAAACACAUUUAGCUGGGUCCUGGUGCAAAACUGUCUGUAGCUUUUACGUGUCUUGAAAAUGUGUAUAAUUACAGUCUUGUCGAUUUUACUUUUUACUUCUAUCUGUACAAGCCUUGUAUUGUAAACAGUAUUACAUUGAACAAAGACCUUCAAAAGUUUAAUGAGAAAUUUAAUGAGUUGAUUUUGGAAAAUAUGCUUAGCAAAUUGAUAAAUUGCACCAGAGGUUUAAUCUAAUGUAAAUUCAUAUUGAUCAGUUGUCAUUUUUGAUUCAUUGGUUUGUCCAUACAGAUGCUACACACAGCUAAGUUGUUGCUGUUGUUUUUCUUGGUUUAUUUUUCUACUAUCACAUUCAUUCAUCAAUUAUUAUCUUUAUUGUUCUUGGAAAAAAUAUUGUGUCUAUUGUGCUGUAUAAAUUCAGAUUCUGUUUUGCACAAAUAUCAGUGUGAUCCAGAACUUCAGCAAGACAGCCCAUCUUUGGCUCUGCAAUUACUGUUUGCACCUUUUUUACAAUAACGUGAAAAGACCUCUCUGUAAGAAUUUGGUAGUUUGUUUCCACCUUUUUAAGAUAUUUAUGUUUGACACAAGCACAAUUGUGUUUUAGCCAAGGUUUGCUAGAGGCCUCUUCUGCCAUUCUUGGGUUUUAGGGUUGUUCCUUAUCUUGACAUGGAAGUCAUUUAGAGGGAGGGGUUGAUUUGGCAUCCAGCCAUUUGAGAUUUUUCUCUCCACUGGCACCGAAAAUUACCCCACCCCCCUAUCCCUGCAUCUCCUCCCUCACUUCCAACCCCCUGUAUCCUCCUGAGUACCCCCGAGACAUGCUGCUCUCAUUUGGCCUGUGUCUGCUCUCUCCACUUAGCAUGCUAACAAUUGAUGUUGCUGUUUAAUUUGUAUCCAUGACAAUUAUCCCCUCCACAUGGCGCUUCCAAGAUUAGUUUAACAGAGCUCCCAUUGGAGGAUGCUGACACUGACAAAUCUCUCCAUACUGCAUGUAAAAGAGGGGCAAGUGCUAGUGUGUGUGCAUCUGUAUGAGUUGGCACACAGGCAUAUGGUUGGAAACGUAGACAUGGUUGUCUGAUUCGCUGACAGGGCACAUUCAGUAAGAAAUGGGAAGGGUUGCACUUUUUUUCUGAUUACAAAAAAAAUGGUUUUAAAACUGUGAUGACGUCUUUAAAGAGAUGACAGGGGAAGUAGAGAAAAGGCUAAUAUUACAUUUAACAUGGCACUCUAGAGAGGAAAUGUUGAAAAGGAGUGCAAAUUAGAUAUUUUUGGGUCACUCAACAGGAGGGAGACACAUGAGAAGCAUAUCCCGAUAAAUUCUUUUGCCUUGUAUCUCAAUCCAAGUCCUUUUUUAAUAAUGAAUAUUUGCCAAUACACAGUUCUGAUCCAAUGAAUGAGUCUGCAUUAAAAUAUGUAACUAGGUUUAAAGCUUUCUUUGAUAGCGUUGUAUAAUAUUUUGCUUAGUGUCCUAUAGAGAGGAGUGUCAGUAUGUACCUGUUGUGGCAGGAAGAUUUGGACUGGAUUGGGCAGCUUCUGCUGGUCAUCUGCAUGAACAAAUACAAUUUGUUUCCUCGUACUGUGCCGUGGUUCACUUGCUGGCUAUACUAUGUGUUAAGAAUACGUUGUAGUGCUUUAACAAAGCGAUGAUGGUCAAAACUUCUAAAAACGGAGUGCAAAAGGUCAGUAUUGCUCCAAGGUUUAUCACACAAGUGGUAAGUAUGAAUAGGGCUGGAUAUCAUUGUAUCAUACAUUUUUCUAUAUUAGUGCAGAUAUAAUACCUGGGUUUUGAUACUGUUACCAAAAUUCUACUUGAUUUAGAUACUAGAUAUUUUGAGAAAUCUAAACAUGUUUUUCAGACUGUUUUUCAGGAGAAGUAAAAUGAAAUUUUAUCGAAACACAAGCAACUGUACCAAGACUUCUGCCUCAAUAAAAUAGUCUAAAAUUGGCAAAAUUUUAAUUUUCAUCCGGAACUUUUGAUUAAAGAAUAAGUUAACAAGAUCACAAAUUUGACUAGACAUUCAGUGCCAGCUUUUGAGUACUAGACAGUUUUCAACACUCUUUGCUACACGUGUCGGUCAGUGCUGAUAAGGUUUAAAUGCACAUGCCUAUUUGUAGACAGCAGUAGGUUUUAUUAUACUAAUAGCAUGGUUAUUAUUUGGUUCACCGUGUGUACCGAACCGGUUUGGACUAAUAAAUACACACCCCUAAAGUAAAAUUGUAUCUGGCUUCAUAUAAAUAAUUACCAUUUGAAUAUAUUUUAAAAAAAAAAGAAAAGAAAGCAGUGCUCCAGUACUGAUUACACAGGGCAGCUUAGGACAUCACUGGUAAUGAGUCGGAUCAUUCUUUUCAUGGCUUCUUCUUCACUUUGUUUAAAGGGAUAUUUCACUACUGUAAAGAUGGUAUUUAUAAAACUCUGCUUUCUAUGCAGUAGAAAGACGCAAAUAUUUUUGAAAUUGGUGCUACAUGACCAGAGAAAAAGGGCCUUUAGCUCAAAAGGUAGAAAACCUACAACAGCCAGAAUGCACUGGCUUCCAAGGCCACUCCCACUCCAAACUUCCCCAACUCCUACAAACAGUCGGUCAGAGCUACUAACGUUAGACUAAACUCUGAAAGCACUGCCGGGUAACAAACUGGGGCAAUGUAUGUGCUAAGCCUCAUAAAAAAACAUGUAUGCUUUCACACUGUAACAUUGCCAUGCUAAUAACAAAACACUGUUGCUAUUGCAGUUACUCUAUGCUCAGAUGUCUGUUGUCGCUGCUGGCUUUGGUUGUUUUUCCAGUUUCUUUUUGGGAUCCUGAUGUAUGUCUCAAGCACUCCCCUGUCCAUAUGUGGCCCAAAGCUUUGGUGUAACACACACUCCACUUCAGUUUCCAUUGGUGCACAUUUACCGCAGCGGCACUACCAGUUGUCCCUGGCACGGGGCAGCUAUGCGCCGCUAUCCUCACCGGCUGGCGGUGCUUGAAUCUCGGCUGUGGUGGCCUCUUCCUCCUUCAUAAGAACAUUGCCUUCUGCCAGUGGUUGUUCUAGCCAGUUAAUUUUGGACAGGAUGUUUUGAAUUUGGAGCAGUGAGGAGCCGCCCCUUUCUCGAUCCGACUGUCUGUGGAGGCGGGCAUACAAAAAAUGCGGAAGUACAAUCUGUAGUUCACGUCAUCCGGCGGACUUUUGCCGUCAAAUGAACAGGGAGCUCUGUGUGCAGGCAACAUGGAGGGAAGUUAUCCAUUGUUCCUUUGCAUAUGUUACCCACACUGUAAUGAUACAAAACUGGAGCUUCUGAACAGUAUUUUGGUUUUUGCUUUGAAAACUCAACAGAACAACCUUUUUAAUUCCGAUAAGGAUAACCUUUAACAUUUUUAAGUAUUAUGGUGGGCUUUUAUGUAAAUAUUUAUUUUCUUGUAAUAAAUUAUUAGUCUUCAGAGACAAAAUUGUGCACAGCUAUAAGUUGUAGUUUAUAAUCUCAAAUAGGCCUCACAAAAAUGUUUUGAAUACGAUGAUCUUGCAGGUUGCUAAUGACGGCGAAUGAUUUUAGUAGUCAGUGGAAUUGAAUAGAGCAUUGACCUUUUCACAAACCUGCCGUUCUGAAAACAUAACCAUCACCUUAUUACUAAUGUACAUGCAUACCCAGCUGUGACUUUUUUGACUUAAACCUCAAGUGCAGACAAAACAAGCCUUAUUUUUAGAGGUUCAAAGUACCUUAUUCUACACACAACCUGGCUAUAGUAGCUUGCUGUCAACAGAUAGAGUAGCUGUUGAUUACAUAUGGUAAUGAGAUGUUGUUGUGUUUGUUUGUUUUUUUAUUUUUUUUUAUUUUUAUUGGUUGACAUGUCCAUGUAUUCAUUCAAUAUAAGUAUAUGUAAUCCAUGGUUAUUCUAUUCCAUUUGCAGUAAUCAUUAAAACAGUAGGAUUGUUAUUGUACCUAUCCAUGGACUUCCCUUAAAGCACCAUGAUAAUCAAACAGUUGCAUAAAUGAUUGUUCAUUUAUAUUUAAUUUUGGAAUAAUAACAAAGAAGACUGAAACGAAUUAAAAGACAUAAGGAUAUAAAAUUAA